GUUUAAAUAAUUUAAUUAAAAUAUUGAUUUGUGGUAUCAAAAAUAUGAAGGAAUCAUUUUAAACU
RNAcentral lists this transfer RNA (65 nucleotides) under Onryza maga. Its description in RNAcentral is "tRNA-His". The record is from RNAcentral. Lineage: Eukaryota; Metazoa; Arthropoda; Insecta; Lepidoptera; Hesperiidae.